This 192-nucleotide non-coding RNA is filed under the name Clostridium sp. RNAcentral's name for it is "6S RNA". It matches the Rfam family "6S / SsrS RNA". From Rfam's summary of the family: E. coli 6S RNA was the first non coding RNA to be sequenced, but its function was unknown until recently. It consists of 184 nucleotides that fold into an extended hairpin structure with a large single-stranded internal bulge. The record is from RNAcentral. Lineage: Bacteria; Bacillati; Bacillota; Clostridia; Eubacteriales; Clostridiaceae.
AAAAUCCUGCCUGGUGCGUGGACCGUUGCAAAUUAACCCUACAAUGUACAAAUCGGGAGCCCCAACUCCGGCGACGGAUUGCAGACCUCCCGGCCUCUGGCUGGAAGAAGGGAGCAUGAAAGCGUUGGGUAGGCACCCACCUGCUUUUCAGUAGCAGGUUUAUUUCGCACGAUACGGCCAGGCGGGCCUUUU